UACGUACCGUACGAACGUUAUUCGGAAUUACUGGGCUUAAAGGGUUUGUAGGCGGCCUUGUAAGUCAGGUGUGAAAUCCCUCGGCUCAACCGAGGAACAGCGCUUGAUACUGCAAGGCUUGAGGGAGACAGGGGUAAGCGGAACUGAUGGUGGAGCGGUGAAAUGCGUUGAUAUCAUCAGGAACACCGGUGGCGAAAGCGGCUUACUGGGUCUCUUCUGACGCUGAGGAACGAAAGCUAGGGUAGCGAACGGG
RNAcentral lists this ribosomal RNA (253 nucleotides) under uncultured bacterium. RNAcentral's name for it is "partial 16S ribosomal RNA". It matches the Rfam family "Bacterial small subunit ribosomal RNA", at positions 524 to 776 of the family's 1533-position model. The record is from RNAcentral.